Molecule: ribosomal RNA, 303 nt
Filed under: uncultured fungus
Lineage: Eukaryota; Fungi
Description: partial small subunit ribosomal RNA
Rfam family: Eukaryotic small subunit ribosomal RNA
Source: RNAcentral
GCUUGUCUCAAAGAUUAAGCCAUGCAUGUCUCAGUAUAAGCUUUUACACGGCGAAACUGCGAAUGGCUCAUUAAAACAGUUAUCGUUUCUUUGGUGGUUAUUGAUUACAUGGAUAACCGUGGUAAUUCUAGAGCUAAUACAUGCGCCCAGACCCAACUUUUAGGAAGGGUUGUAUUUAUUAGAUACAAACCAACAUCGUGGUGAUUCAUAAUAACUUUGCGAAUCGUAUGCCUCACGGCGACGAUGAAUCAUUCAAAUUUCUGCCCUAUCAACUUGGCUACCACAUCCAAGGAAGGCAGCAGG